GAGAAGGGGUUGCGUACUACUUGCGUUGCAGCAUUUUGUAGCGCCAGGAAAUCCAAAUCCACAAACUGACAGUGAUCGCGAAAGAGAAGAACGAUGAGAUUAAGAUGCAGCGUGGCUACGGCGUUCACGGUGGUUAUUUUCCUGAUUCUGGUCGGAGAAAAAGGGACCGGACCGCCACAAAUCGAAGCCUCUAAUUCCGUUUCCGCCUUCGUUCACAACGUCAUCUACUCCAACAGAAUCGCCUUCUUCUCCAAAUCCUAUUGCCCGUAUUGUUUACGCGCCAAACGCAUCUUUGCUGAACUCAAUGAGCAACCGUUUGUUGUUGAAUUGGAUCUCCGAGAUGAUGGGUAUGAAAUUCAGAGUGUUCUUCUAGAUUUACUAGGUAGAAGCACAGUGCCACAAGUAUUUGUCAAUGCCAAGCAUAUUGGUGGAUGUGAUGAUCUCAGAGCUGCAGUCCAGAGUGGUGAAUUGCAGAAACUUCUUAGUGCAAGUUGAUGGCAUAUUGGAGACUCGGGGAGGAGCACUAGCGUCUGCCAAUUUACCGGUUGGUGUAUCAUGCAUGAAAUCUGGGGUAGUUAAAUCGAAAAUUGAGAUACAUGUGUGAUGAAAAAAACAAUAGUGUGACGUGCUCCGGACAAAUGUUGUGCUAUAGAAGGAGGAUAGAAUGCCAUAUACAUGUCAGUGCCGCUGCACAACUAUAUCUGAAAAGGAGCCUUGAGUUACAGCACGAGUGUUGUGGCCAUUAUCAGGACAAAGCUGCAGAGUCAGGUCGCCAAGUGCCUCUCUUGGCACAGAGCAUGCCUUCUUGUUCUUUUGUGUAAGUUAUUUCCCAGUGUAGAGAUUUUAACAGAGCUUCCACUUCUUUGAUGGUGUUCGGUUCAUCACGCACAAUCAACGUACCUCCAGGUCUGAUUAUUCUAUCCACCUCUGCCAUAACAGGAAUAAGUUUACACCUGAGGAGCCAAAAUAACAGAUGGAGAUCAUUUUGGUGCAAUUUCUCUAGAAUAGGUGAAAAGGGUUGAAGGAUCACUACUUCCAUACAUACCUCUCUUUUAGCUUUGAAAAAAGAUUAUCUGCAUGCAGUAGAUCAUAAGUUCUUGGAUAUGUGCUGAAGGAUUCACACCAAUCAUGGUAUAUCCCAAAAAGACCCCUCUCAUAGAUGAUGGGAAGUGUAUCCGGAGCAUCUAUGUUCACAACAUUGAAUACCCAAACAGGAAGUUCCCUCAGAGCUGCUGCAAAUCUGCACGCAGAUGGCUAAGUAUUACAAAAACUAAGUAUUGCAUAUUAAGUUCUAAUCUAUGAUAGUUGUUCUCCAAGUUGAAGGCAAUACCCCCCAUAGACAGCUCGCAUGUCCAUGAUAUUUCUCACAUUAGACCAAGUUAUUCCAAUGUUACUCAACUCAUCCACAAUGUUUCUCCAACGUUCAGUGUCUGCUGUAAAAUCUUGAGGAGCUGGUUUUCCAUAGAUCCCAACCUCUGAGCUGUUUAACCAAUACGGGGCUUUCUUCACUCGACGAGGCCAAACUUCAGGCCACUUGGCCCCUCUCUCAGCCUGGUUUUCAGGCACUCUAUGCAUGCACGCUUGCAGAGGCAGCAUUUGAAUCGUCAUCAUCCUUGCACAUUGGAGGUUGGUUUUUCUCCCGGUUGUCGUAGCAUUCAUUGGAAGUGGGUUUGCGGUAAAUGGCAGCGCCAACAUGAUUCAGUUCAUCCUUGUUGAUAGUGACAAGCUCCCAACACAUUUUCUUUGUUAGUGAGGACAUUUCUAGUAGAAAUUACAAGAUGUCAGUGACUGUAGAAUUGUCCUUCUUGUAACAGCAAAGAUAUGAAGUUUAAUCCUACCUUUCCAUAUCUCGACAUCUUCUUCGAGCUUUUGGUACACGGGAGUAGCACACCAAACAAAAUAACCACCCGGUCUCAGAAGCCGAUUCAAUUCCAAAAGCAACAUGCCACCUAGAACAGAGUUUCACAAUUCUCAGCAACUAAAUAUGUUCAGCACAAAAUAAAGCCAUUGUUGAUUAUGGAUAUGAAAUCAAAUGACAAAUUCAAGCUCAAGAAAAGUGUUGGUGAGUGAAACCAACCAUCUACAUGCCAAGGUACUCUGCAACGUGCACAAUGUAUAAGAUCAAACACACGGCUAGGGAAUGGCAAUCUUGUAGAACCCAUGACAGCAGAUAUGGCAGGAAUGCCUCUCUCAAGGGCAAACUGUACUUGUGCUUCAUGUUCAUCUUUGGGUGCAAAAGACAUUGCAACAACAUCUCUUUCAAAUAGGUAUCCUCCAAAACUACCAACCCCACACCCAACAUCCAAGAUCACCCUGGUGUGCUUUCCCCAUGCAAUUCCAGCCUCAGCCUGCAAUGCAUGAAUGAUAUUAUAAAAUAUUGCUUGCUAGUGAUAACUUAUUCCGAUGAAUAACUUUGGGUGGGUUCGGCUUCCGUCACCACCACUGGUCAAAGGAUGCUUACAGGACCAUAAGUCGCUUAUAGUGACCCACUGACACAACCCUCACAUCGGCUGCGAGAGUCGAACGCAAUUUCCUCCCAGGAAAUGCCUCAUCCUUACCGAUUGAGCCAACAUGUGUUCGGCAUGCUAACUAAGUAGUAAGUAUUAACUAAGACAAAAUUUAGAAAAUGCUGUUAUGAUUACCUUUUGAAGAAAAUCAAUGUAGUGUAGAGCUCCAUGAAUGAACUGGGUGCCACCACCAGGGAAUGUUAAGAAUUCACCUGUCACCUUCACCCAAUUCUGGUGUCCCUUCACCUCUGCUAGCAUGGAGUGAGGUACAUUGUGAUACCAUAUCUGUUUUGAAAUACAAUAAAGAAAGUUUUAAUUUUGAAGA
RNA transcript from Lotus japonicus, 2832 nucleotides. It is a transcript of the gene named glutaredoxin-C3-like, with no coding region annotated. The transcript has 6 exons. The record is from RefSeq and is a predicted model, not a curated record. NCBI's taxonomy places the organism in Eukaryota, Viridiplantae, Streptophyta, Magnoliopsida, Fabales, Fabaceae.